This 427-nucleotide ribosomal RNA is filed under the name uncultured bacterium. RNAcentral describes it as "bacterial SSU rRNA". It matches the Rfam family "Bacterial small subunit ribosomal RNA", at positions 355 to 774 of the family's 1533-position model. The record is from RNAcentral.
UGGGGAAUUUUGGACAAUGGACGUAAGUCUGAUCCAGCCAUGCCGCGUGCGGGAAGAAGGCCUUCGGGUUGUAAACCGCUUUUGUCAGGGAAGAAACGAGUUUCUCUAAUACAGAGACUUAAUGACGGUACCUGAAGAAUAAGCACCGGCUAACUACGUGCCAGCAGCCGCGGUAAUACGUAGGGUGCGAGCGUUAAUCGGAAUUACUGGGCGUAAAGCGUGCGCAGGCGGUUAUAUAAGACAGAUGUGAAAUCCCCGGGCUCAACCUGGGAACUGCCUUUGUGACUGCAUAGCUAGAGUACGGUAGAGGGGGAUGGAAUUCCGCGUGUAGCGGUGAAAUGCGUAGAUAUGCGGAGGAACACCGAUGGCGAAGGCAAUCCCCUGGACCUGUACUGACGCUCAUGCACGAAAGCGUGGGGAGCAAACA